UUCGUACUGUGUUGCGAACUCGGCAAACCCGAUUCGUUGGUACCCGCAUAAGGGAUCCGACCCGACUGAAUGAACCGGUGGUUGCAAUGGUAGUUGUGUGCACCGACGGAUGUGCUGAUAAGCAUCGUGCAAGUUUAAAUGUGGAAUACAGAUUUGAAAUGAAUGACCCUAUGUUUGGAGGUAAGAAUUUUUCGACGACAUGGUCCAUCGGUGGAUAGGGAUCCUUGGAGCCAGGAGACUAUCGACUACAGGAUCAUCUGUUCGAUGCAGUGACGAAUUAACCUGGGCCCAACUUCCACUCCGCCUCAAGCCUCCAAGGUGCUUGAUAAGCCACUGCGUAGACGACGACCAUUCCAUUACGACAAGGGACCUCCACAACGAAUCUUCAAGUCCUUUAGACAACGAUGCCUCCUCCAUUAUUUGGUCUCUUGGUAGAUGUAGCUUAGGAUGACGAAAUUCUAUUGAGAAAACAAGGUUCUUUUGGAUGUUAAAUUUUCUUUAUACGUGAAGGUGUUUGCAAGACGAUUAGAAUAAAGCCCCUCACAAGUCAACAUACCGCUUCAUAAGCCUUUGAAAUUUUUAUUUUUUUUAGGUUAAUUUUAUUUGCGAUAUUCAAUUGCGUUUACAGUUCCGGUUACAUUCCUUACAGCUAAACUUAAUUGUAGGAAAGCACAGUGUGGUUAAUUUGC
Long non-coding RNA from Anopheles stephensi (Asian malaria mosquito), 689 nucleotides. RefSeq lists it as uncharacterized. NCBI's taxonomy places the organism in Eukaryota, Metazoa, Arthropoda, Insecta, Diptera, Culicidae. The transcript has 2 exons. The record is from RefSeq and is a predicted model, not a curated record.